ACAGACUGCUGAGGGUGAAACUGUGUUCAGCAACCCUCCUUGACUUUUGCUGUGACCCUCCAAGGAAGAAUCGGAAGUAGAUAAGUAAGCAGGAAGUAAACAGGGAUGUUCGCCAUUGGAGUCCAGCCAUCAUCUUACAAGGGAGCCCAGACCACAUGGAGAGGCCAUGAUGAAAUGUUAUGGGCAAUAGCUAAGGUUGCAGCCAACAGGCAACAUCAACAACUAGUAGUGAGCAAGGAGCCUUCAGAUGAUUCUAGUCCCAGGCUUCAACCUGUCCCAGCUGAUGCAAAGUACAGCAGAGAUGAGAAUGCCCAGAAGUUCCUCUCUCCGCAAAUACACCUGCAAUUUUCAAGUCCUUUUAAUUCAUGCCUUUAAAUGAAAGGGUUGAGUAUACAAGAAUAUCAAUAAGUUCCAAUUGAAGAGCGGAUUCUUUUGCAAUUCAGGCAUGUGCCGGCGAUAACGGGCGAGUUGGCAUGAAGAGAGGCAGAGAUGGAUUAAUUAUGCAGAGAACAUGGAAAUUCUGCUUAUCAUCGGCUAGCAAAGGAGCCCGGCUCACAUAAUCAGCAAACGAAGGGAGAGGAAAAAAUAACAAUGCAAUGGCACCUUCCAGCCCAUCAUCAGGAUUUUUUCUACCCCCCUUGUAAUUAAAAAAUAACAUACACUUAUAGCCCUAUCUCCUGUGCAGGAAAGGAGUGGAUGUCCACAAAAUAAUUGCACUGGGAUAUUAGAGCUGGCAACAUGGGCUGUCCAUUCCUGCUUGCUGUCCCUCUCACCCUCUCUUUCUCUUUUGGCCUCUCAAGGCACUUUGCUCCUGAACUCAAUCCAAAUCAGACGGAUGUCUCAGGUGACAUGCUAGCUCAGACUUCAAAAAAUCCCAAAUUGGUACCUUAUCAUGAUCCAAGCAAACAUACAUACAUAUGUGAUAAAUAUUUGAAGGGCUGACUCUGGGGGAAGGCUUUGGAACUGAUCACCUGUGGACUAUUUGGUCACUUCCGUUUUUUGAUGAAACCUGUCCUAAUAACCUUCAUUUUGCAAAGGGACUGGAUGAAAAUGGUGGGCUGUGCCAUGGCUGUGUUCAUCUUCUCAAAUGAUUUCACUUACCUACAAGUUUUGGUUUCUAUUCCCUUUGCCAAUUCACUUUACGAAUCCAAGUAUAUAUAGUUAAUGAUUGCAGUGUUUGUGCCUCCAAAUCAGAAUUCACAAUUCUUCAUUGUUACUGUAAAA
Zalophus californianus (California sea lion) is the source of this 1224-nucleotide long non-coding RNA. RefSeq lists it as uncharacterized. The record is from RefSeq and is a predicted model, not a curated record. Lineage: Eukaryota; Metazoa; Chordata; Mammalia; Carnivora; Otariidae. The transcript is spliced from 4 exons.